AUGUCAACACAUGAUCUGAAGUUGCAGCAGUCAAGUUGUCAAAGCGGAGUGAAAGCCAGCGUGACUUGCUAUUUCCCAGAUCAGGAGAUAUUGUACACACAAACUGACAAAUCACGUUUUCAGAAUGUAAGUGAACAUGAGAAGUUACAUCCUGGACCACUGGCUCAACACAUCCACAACAAGAAAGAUUUAGAAACUAGAACUAUUGCAUCUUCACCAUCAUCGCAGUUAACAGGCCAGCUGAAAAGCAGCAGAGAUUUACAGAUCAGGCAAGUAAUACUUCUCAGAUCUAAGGAAGACUCCAGUAGGACAUCUGAAGAACAGAGGAAAUCUGCCAGAUUCACUUCCACCAUCUCUAUCAGUCUUCCUAAUAGAAGAAACAAAAAAGACACGGCGGUGGAAAAAACACUGCAUGCUACAACUAACCUUUACAGCACACAUGAAGCCGUAAAAAACACAGCUAAUCAAAACCACACAGAGCUAAGAGACGUGCUUUCACCAACUGAGCAAUGUGGUGAAUCAACUGGUGAAUUCUUUAAGAAUAGGGAUGGGCCAAAAGCAAGCUUUGAUGAAGACAGUUUUACCACUCUGCAUCAACAUGGACAUAACACACCAAAACAGGGACAAAAUACAGGAAUACAACACAACAUAGGCCUUCAUGAACAAACGCAAAUUGUCUACAACGGCUCACAAAGACAUUCUACUCAACCUGUUUGUAAGGUUCAAACAGAAUUCAACAAGGAAUCUGGAGCCAGCGACUGUAGAAAGAAUGCUGCAACAACUCCACAGUACCACAGUAAUCUGACCUCCUUUGAAGUGGACAAUGGUCUAAAAGCAAGCACUGAUUCCCAGUUUUUUGCACACCAUUCAGAAGUAGUAAACCAGGUCUUGCCAUUAGACUCUUUUCCUGCUCCUCAUUCUGAAAGUACCCCUGAGCCAGAACCUGGUCUUAACAAUCCUACAUCAACUAUGUUGACAUCAGCCCUGGUCUCAGUUCUUGCUCCACCUUGGAGUGGCCGUCUUCGAAGACCCAAGCAAGGCGGCAGCGAAGUACAGCAUGAACCCCAAGAUUGUGCACAGAAUGUCAACCCAUCUACCUUAUUUCGCCAGGAUCAGCACCAACAACCAUUUCUUCCUUCCCAGAGGCAACCAUCUGAACACAUGUUGGCCAAUGACAAUGACAUGCAGUUGACUGCAGGAACCAGCUGUAACUCUCCUGACUGGCAAAAAGAGAACAAUUCCCCAAACAUCACAACCACAAUACAGCCAAAGAGACCCAUUAUUAAAUCCUCCUCUGUGGGCAUGAUGUACAAUAAUACAGAUUUGCAUCCUUUUCCCACACCUCUGGACACUCAUCAGGUACCAAAUUUGGCCCAUUCAGGGUACAGAAUAUCAAAAACUGGAGAUGAACAUCAGCCUUUCAAAUCAUUGAGCUCUAAGCCAACAACAAGCACCCUACUUCUUUCCUUGAGGAGGUCAAAUUUGAGAAGCUCCAGUGCUGAGCCCACACAAUCACAGACUCCGAUGACUAGGUCUGUCAGGUCCCUUACAUUGCCUAGCAGAGUUGUUUUGAAAACUCCGUCAUUUGCCCAUUCUGUUACCGCUGAUGACCAAACCCCCAAAUACCCAGACACUCCUGGAAGAACAGAGGAAAUACCAGUCAGUCAGUUCCCUUUCUCACAUGGAAUUAAGAGUAGAGUGCCAUUAAGGAAAUCACUGUUUCUAAACAAACCAGAGACGGCAAUUUCAAAGAGACUAGAAGCUUCUGUUGCCAGAGUAGAGGAGGAACGUUUCCCAAUGUCCACAACCAAAACCGGCCAACUUGGGGUUCUCAGAGCUCAACAGAGCUCUUAUUCAGUGUUUUCGAGGAAAUAUUCCAGUACAGAGGACAUAGAUCUAGUGGAACUAAAUGCUGCCAACAACAACAACCUGCAAAACUCCAGUAUGACCAGACAAAAAGUAACUCCAGAUACCACAUUUUCUCCCAAAGUUUUAACAAAUUUUAAUGUUCAACAAUCUGGCUUUAAUGUUCAAAAAUUUAAAUCACAAAGUACACACAAUAUAAUAGCCAGUAGUUCAUCAGGCACAAGCACCUUCACAGACAGGCUUAACUACUCACCAAGGAAAGACUCUUCUGUAGAUGGAACAAGUCCCACAAAUGUGGGGCAGAUAUAUCUGGACUCUAAGAAAUAUUCUCAGUCAAGUCAAAGCACAAUGGAUCUUUCGAGCCUUCUUUCUCCAAGCAGACCUCUCAGAAGUGUAAGAGUACCAAGCAUUUAUUCAUACCUACGGGAGUCCAGCUCAGCUAUGUCCACCCCUUUCCCUUCUACCCCUUCUUCCCACAUACAGAAAGGUGAAACAUUGCCUCCUGAGCAAAAUGGAGGUGGAACACUACAGGGUGACCGGAAAACACUUCCUUCAAGAUUUUCAUUUGACUUUGUACCACAGGUAGAAGCAUUACAAAGAAGCUCUUAUGGCUCCAGCUCUCAUAUAGCACCAGCUCAAUCUCUGCCUCCUGAUUUUGGACGAAGAUCAGCACCUCGUCUCAGCACUUCUCCAUAUUCUAGCCUCAUCUCCUCACGACCUACACUCAACAACACUUUACAAGAACUAUCCUCUCCACCUGUGUCCAAAACUCAUACCCGAACUACAUCUUAUGAUAUUGUAACCACUCCUGCAGACUUCAUUAAAGUUGAUCCAAUCUCUUCACUGUCCACAUACACAAGUAUAAUAAGAAGACCAAAGGAACAGUUAGCUUCUCCUAACAGAAAACAGAGGACAGCAGUUCAAGAUCAUACAAGCGCCCUAGAUAAUCACAAACCUGCCCAGCCAUGCCUCUUACAAGCUGCACCAGAUGCAAGUUUUUUCAUGGAAAGCCAAAGCUCAAAUAUAAGCCCACACCCAAGGCAGCCCAGCACAGGCUCUAACAACUUCUGUCAUCAGGAGCAUGAUGGCUUGAUGGAACUUCAGCUUGAUAAGGGUAAUGCUUACCCCAAGCACAGGCUGAGUGAGAACGAGAAGUAUUUAAUACCUGAUAAGCGCACAGUAGAAAAUAAGACUCCACUGAUAGCUGAGAGAGAGAUUCCCACUGUGCAUAGGCAUGAGAGACUGCAGGAAAUGCAAAGUUCCAAUUCAAAAAAAGGCCUCUUUAGUUCACGAGUUAAGAAAGACAAAGAAGCUGUCUGCUCUUCAGCUUCUAUGCCAGACAAAGAGGUUGUUAAUCCCCAGUAUUUAAAAACCAAAAGACAUUCAACAGUGUUUAAAACCAUCAGCAGGGUUGACCAGAUGUUAAAUCGCUUGAAACUGACAUUUGGUGUCAAACAUUCAGACAGCUCACUUGACGCACUAUCGAAAAAGAACAAGAGUCCCACUCGGCAACUCUCAGAUACUGAGACUUUUGAAAGUCCCAAGACAGAGGACAAAACAUGUUCUGAGAGCCACCCGGAACCUUCUAACUACUCUUUAACAACUGAUAAAACCACUUUAAAUUCCUUGUCACUACUAACAUUAAAAGAAUCUCAGAAUACAUUAAAUGUGGAUGAACAAAAUAAGUCUAUGGCUGAAAUAAAUUAUUCUGGGAGUACACGGGAGGCCCCCAACUCAUUCUUGACCACUGAUAAAGCCUCUUUUGCAUCUUUGUCACCACUUACAUUAAAGAAAUCUGAGAAUACCUUAAAUAAGGAUUGGCAAAAUAGAUCUACAACUGAACAAAAGGGUUAUGGGUGCACAUGGGAGACCCCCAGCUCAUCUUUGACCACUGAUAAAGCCUCUUUUGCAUCUUUGUCACCACUUACAUUAAAGAAAUCUGGGAAUACUCAAAAUAUGAAUUGGCAAAACAGAUCUACAACUGAACAAAAGGGUUCUGGGUGCACAUGGGAGGCCCCCAACUCAUAUUUUACCACCGAUAAAGCAUCUUUUGACUCUUUUGGGUCUUUGUCGCCACUUACAUUAAAGAAAUCUGAGAAUUCUUUAAAUAUGGACUGGCAAAACAGAUCUACAACAGAUCAAAAGAGUUCUGGGUGCACAUGGGAGGAACCCAACUCAUCUUUGACCACUGAUAAAGCACCUUUGGCUUCUUUUGAGUCCUUGUCACCAUUAAUAUUAAAUAAAUCAUCUGAGAAUAUGUUAAAUGUUCAUCAGCAAAAGAGGCAUAGCGAUGAAAAUGGAAACCGCUCUUAUGGUAGGAGCUUUAGUCCACAUAGGCUAAAGGCCCAAAGUAUGAAUCGUUCUGCCACCUUGCCACAUUACAGAAAAUCCUCUGUCGGUCCCCCAUCACCCUUUUAUUUGUUUGAUUUUGAUUCAGAAGACAUUCAGAAUGACAAUGUGUUUUAUAGUCCAGUGUGCAAAAAAACAAAUUCACUGUGUGAGUCUGAUGACUUCUCUUCUCUGAACUCCACCAAGAGUCCCGUGCAGCAAAACCUUGUGAGGUCUCACUUGUCCUCGUCGUGUGCUGAUUUAAAGUAUGGUCUACACAAUGGACGAUCUUUCUCGGUAAGCAGUGUGGUUUCAAGCCGCCCAUCAGGUCCUGGACGAAUCUCAACAAGCAGCAUCAGCGACCUCUCAAGUUUGGAUGACUUUGUGCCGAAGGGGAAUUAUACAGUAGUUGACUCUCCAAUGAAUAGUAGCCAUUCUCCAGUCUGUGAUGCCAAAUCUAUCACUGGUAAACAGUCUGGACCUGGAUAUACAGAUGAUCUUGAUCUUGAUCAUUAUGAUGCAGACCCAACCCCACCUCCAUCACCAACUAUGUCCUCUUCACCUCGGCGGAUGUCCCAGGCACCUUCUGUGUCUUCCCCCAUGUGGACAACUCCAGAAAAUAUGUCUCCUUCUCGUGGAAUCCUGUCAUCAAGGAGCUACACAACCAGCUUGACUGUUUUUGAGGAGUCUGAUUCUGACACCACAACCGAAGAUGAAUACUAUCUUGACAAUUGUGAUGAUGCAGAAGAAACAGAACUUUAGAGGAGAGAAUUAUGUGUUGUUCAAUUCCAUCAUGUUUACAUAUACUGAACCUUUUAAAUUGGGGAGUGCGGGGGUUCUACGUUUAGGGUCUUCUACUACAAAGCUGCAGCAACAUUAGGCCUCUGUCAAGCCAAUCUAAAUUGUAAAAACAACUAGAAAUCCAGAUUGGAUAUGAAUAGAAAGAAAUAUAAUUAUAUCAGAAAUGUAAGACCAUGUUGAUUUCAUAUUUUUUGUUAUAAAUUAAAUAUAAUGGGCUUUUUGAAUACUUUAGUGUUUGAGGAUAGCAAUUUUUUAUUUCAUUAUGAAUUCAUAUACAAUACAGUACAUUAGGUUUUUUAUAUAUAUUUUCUGGAUCUUGAGUCUUUGAAAUGGUGAAUUCUCACAUCAUUCCUUUAUUGAGGCCUGCUUCCUGUAGGUUAUUGACUGUUUCAUUCACUGUGGCAUUUGAAAGCACAGCAUGUCAGUUACAAUACAUUAUUUUCCUGACAGACAUUCUAUAGUCAGUAGCUGUUAACUAAGAAACUGAACCCCAACUGUUUAACACAGGUGUUUGAAUUUUUUUCAUUUCAUACUGCUCCUUUAACAGUCAGAAAAGAAAAAAAAGAAUAGAACAAUUGAAGUGCCCCUGUAACACUGAUGAUUCCACAUUAAUUGCGGUUAAGUCUGUAAAGAAGAUGAUGUUACAGAAGUCUGCUAUCCAUUUGAUAUUACCGUUAAAAGUAUGAAAGUGUUAUUGAAAACUGGCUGAUCCUGGCAUAUGCAACAUCCGCAACUUGUUAAUUUGAGGUUCAAACAAGGCCUCUCACAAUCAUUGCAAAAGACAUACCACUAGAUGAACUAAGCAUUCUUAAAUAAGAUCUCACAGUUGAUUUUAUUUACUGUAUAAUUUAAUUGUGCUGUUUGUGUGCAUCAUGUUUGUGUGUGGCUUUCAGUGUAAUUUUAAUGGAUCUUUUAUUAUAAUUUAUUAUGCAGGGCAGGGGUUGGGGCAUCAUUUCUCCCCUAGAGCCUAGGGACCUCCAUAAGCUGUUAAGAUGCUCAAUUGCAGCACUGACAACAACACAGUAGGAAAUGCUGUAUAACAUAGUCCUACAUAUGUAAGGUCCUUUAUGUAAGGGAUUUCUUGAAUGUCUACAUUAAAUCGGUUAUAUUUAUUAACAUUUAAUAUAUUGAAUACACUGUAUUUUUCUUAAGGCAUAAGGCGAAUAAUAUUGAUCACUUAUUAAAAAAAUUAAUAAAGUAUCUGUAAAUGACA
Long non-coding RNA from Cyprinus carpio (common carp), 6208 nucleotides. The record is from Ensembl. NCBI's taxonomy places the organism in Eukaryota, Metazoa, Chordata, Actinopteri, Cypriniformes, Cyprinidae.